UGUGCCUACGGGAGGCAGCAGUGGGGGAUAUUGCACAAUGGGGGGAACCCUGAUGCAGCGACGCCGCGUGAGCGAAGAAGUACCUCGGUAUGUAAAGCUCUAUCAGCAGGAAAGAAAAUGACGGUACCUGACUAAGAAGCCCCGGCUAACUACGUGCCAGCAGCCGCGGUAAUACGUAGGGGGCAAGCGUUAUCCGGAUUUACUGGGUGUAAAGGGAGCGUAGACGGCAGCGCAAGUCUGGAGUGAAAUGCCGCGGCCCAACCCCGGAACUGCUCUGGAAACUGUGACGCUGGAGUGCAGGAGAG
Molecule: ribosomal RNA, 305 nt
Filed under: uncultured bacterium
Lineage: Bacteria
Description: bacterial SSU rRNA
Rfam family: Bacterial small subunit ribosomal RNA
Source: RNAcentral